AUCUUCCACAAUGGACGAAAGUCUGAUGGAGCAACGCCGCGUGAGCGAAGAAGGUUUNNNGAUCGNACAGCUCCGUUGCGAGGNAAANACAAGUACGGGAGUAACUGCCCGUACCUUGACGGUACCCCGUCAGAAAGCCACGGCUAACUACGUGCCAGCAGCCGCGGUAAUACGUAGGUGGCAAGCGUUGUCCGGAAUUAUUGGGCGUGAAGCGCGCGCAGGCGGUCCUUUAAGUCUGAUGUGAAAGCCCACGGCUCAACCGUGGAGGGUCAUUGGAAACUGGAGGACUUGAGUACAGAAGAGGAAAGCGGAAUUCCACGUGUAGCGGUGAAAUGCGUAGAGAUGUGGAGGAACACCAGUGGCGAAGGCGGCUUUCUGGUCUGUAACUGACGCUGAGGCGCGAAAGCGUGGGGAGCAAACA
RNAcentral lists this ribosomal RNA (421 nucleotides) under uncultured bacterium. Its description in RNAcentral is "partial 16S ribosomal RNA". It matches the Rfam family "Bacterial small subunit ribosomal RNA", at positions 361 to 774 of the family's 1533-position model. The record is from RNAcentral.